AUUCUUUACGAAUUCACUGUAUGAUGGUAUUGCUAAAGUAGGAAAUUGUUUAGUAGGAAACAACUUUGCCAUCAUUAUCAUGUAAUCGCUAGCUACUAUAUAGCUCUCGAAAACCCUAGGCGGCAUACUGCCUUCUCCCUAUAGCUCGCUAGCUUGUUUUAGUCAAGGCGCCAGGGUUCCGGUCUAGAAUAACGGUUUCGAUAGCUCCUACAGUUUUGCUUCAUUACUACAAUUUAACAGACGACCGCCCCAGAAAGAUAAUUUCCAUACACGGCCACAUAGAGAAGUCAGAUUUGAAAAUUACUGAUAGCUAGUCUAUUUUAAAUUAUGUUAAUUUCUUACAUUCACCUUUUCAUGUUUAUUCAAAUACUUUUCAUUCAAAUCCAUAUGGUUUGGUUUCAAUACUUAAAUACCAAUUGGUAGGUUCAGGUAGUCACAAAAAUAGAUGGGUGUUGGUUAAAUUGUGAUUCUAAUAAAUGCAGCGGGAGUUUAUUUUUUCUGUGAGCAGUAGGAAAGGACAUGGAGCACCGCUCCAUGAUCGAUGAGCAGAAUUUCCAACCCAAACUAAUUUAUUUAUAUUGUCCCAUCACUGCAACUCCCAUACAUACUCGGGAGAGGCGGAGGUCACGAGUCUUGCAUCCUCCGAAACACAACCCUGCCAACUUCUUGACACUUAACCCGGAAGCCAGCCGCACCAAUGUGUUGGAGGAAACACUGUACAACUGGUGACCGAAGUCAGUGUGCAUGCGCCCAGCCCGCCACACAGGGUCGCUAGAGCGGGAUGGGACAAGGACAUUCCGUCCGGCCAAAUCCUCCCCUAACCCGGAUGAUGCUGGGCCAAUUGUACAUCGCCUCAUGGGUCUCCCGGUCAGCUGCGACACAGCCUGGUAUCGAACCUGGGUCUGUAGUGACGCCUCUAACACUGCGAUGCAGUAUCUUAAACCACUGAGCAGACCCUACUCACAUUUUUAUUUAUUUAACCUUUAUUUUACUAAGCAAGUCACUUAAGAACAAAUUCUUAUUUUCAAUGAGGGUUAACUGCCUGUUCAGGGGCAGAAAGACAGCUCUUGUCAGCUCAGGGAUUCGAACUUGCAACCUUUCGAUUACUAGUCCAACGCUCUAACCACUAGGCUACCCUGCCGCCCCAUACUCACAUACUCAGAUUAGGACACGCAGGUUGAAAUAUCAAAACGAACUCUGAACCAACUAUAUUAAUUUGGUCGAAACACAUGAAACAUUCAUGGACAUUUAGCUAGCUAGCUUGUUGUUGCUAGCUAAUUUGUCCUGGGAUAUAAACAUUGGGUAGUUAUUAUACCUGAAAUGCACAAGGCCCUUUUUAUCUGGAUCUUUGUAGAAUUUUGACACAUUUUUAGUCUCGUAAUCUCUCUUCUGUGGACUUUAUAUGACGGUUGGCAACCAACUUUACGGUGCAUUACCACCACCAACUGGACUGUGUGGACCUCAGUUCAUCUUUCAGUCACCCACGUGGGUAUAUGCUCCUUAAAACCAAUGAGGAAAUGGGAGAGGCGGGACUUGCAACGUGUCAAGUGUUAAAAAAUAGAACCAAGUUCUAUUUUAGCGCCUGGCUAGCAGAUGUUUGUUGACUUGCGCCAGCAGUUUGGAUGAAAUUAUUGAAUAAUAUGAAUGUUAUUGUGGUUAAAAGCGUUGGGUCAGUAACCGAAAGAUCGCCGGUUCAAAGCCUUAAGCCAACUAUGUGAGCAAGGCACUUAACCCUAAUUGCUCCUCUAAGUCGCUCUGGAUAACAGCGUCUGCUAAAAAAUCUAUUUGUUUUGCAUCACAUGUGCAUGCGACCCGGGUGGUGUUGUCAUCAUGUGAGUGUUUAAGUAAAUCAAUCAAACCUUUAUUUAUGCAAUUGCAGACAGAAGUUGACAACGGAAACACAGCACGUAUGUUUCAGAGUAAGUUCUGCAAAAUAAAAAAGGUCAAAGUUGCUUUAAUAUACUUGCAGUCAACCUCUAGUGAUGUAACUACCUAUGUCAACACCUUCUACUCAUGAGACCAAACCCAUGCAUAUACAGUUAUACAAACUUGCAGGAGAAAACAAUAGUCCAGUGUUUUCUAAGGGCUCAGCAGUAAUUUUACAUUCCCGUGUGGUUUACAGUGGUGUGUCUGACUUGUCUCUUAUCUAUUUACUCCCGUGCAGGGGUCUGUGUCAAUGUAUCUCUUUUAGUCUUGUUGCGCUUUCUCACAGACACCUAAUUUUGACUGCUAUGGCUCACACAUCUGCUCAGACCAUUUCUUAUAAGAGGCAGAGACUAGAAAAGAACUUUGGAAUAGUAUUAAACCUUAUAAUGCAUAUAUUACUAAUAUGUGGUCCAGGACCCUAUAAAUGUAGUGUGGGAGGGUCUUAUAGCCCUUCCCCUUCUAUUAAUACAACAUAAGAAUAUUGAAUUAUUAUAAUAUAUCAGUCAUUUGUAGGACCAUUUGUGAUGUUUCUGGGACAUUUUGGAGUGCCAACAGAAGAAGAUCUUCAAAGGUGUCACGACGAAGUCGGUCCCUCUCCUUGUUCGGGUGGCGUUCGACGGUCGACGUCACCGGUCUUCUAGCCAUCACUGAUCCACUUUUCAUUUUCCAUUUGUUUUGUCUUGGUUUUCUAAACACCUGAUUUUAAUUUCCCAAUUACAUGUUCAUGUAUUUAACCCUCUGUUUUCCCCAUGUUUUUGUGCGUGAUUGUUUCUACGUUCACUCUGUAAUUUAUGGCUGGUUUUCGACGGGUGCUGUUCUUCACCCGUGUGUAAUUUGAUUACCAUUAUUUGUAUUGGUCAAGUGUAUUGUUACCUUGUGUCUUGUUUCUGAGUAAAGUAUGUGGCUCACUCA
Oncorhynchus masou masou (cherry salmon) is the source of this 2838-nucleotide long non-coding RNA. RefSeq lists it as uncharacterized. The record is from RefSeq and is a predicted model, not a curated record. Lineage: Eukaryota; Metazoa; Chordata; Actinopteri; Salmoniformes; Salmonidae. The transcript is spliced from 2 exons.